CAGCCGCCGCGGGAAUACGUAGGUGGCAAGCGUUGUCCGGAACUAUUGAGCGUAAAGGGCUCGCAGGCGGUUUCUUAAGUCUGAUGUGAAAGCCCCCGGCUCAACCGGGGAGGGUCAUUGGAAACUGGGAAACUUGAGUGCAGAAGAGGAGAGUGGAAUUCCACGUGUAGCGGUGAAAUGCGUAGAGAUGUGGAGGAACACCAGUGGCGAAGGCGACUCUCUGGUCUGUAACUGACGCUGAGGAGCGAAAGCGUGGGGAGCGAACAGGAUUAGAGACCCCCGUAGUCCCUGUCUCUUAUAC
RNAcentral lists this ribosomal RNA (301 nucleotides) under uncultured bacterium. RNAcentral describes it as "partial 16S ribosomal RNA". It matches the Rfam family "Bacterial small subunit ribosomal RNA", at positions 509 to 807 of the family's 1533-position model. The record is from RNAcentral.